Molecule: non-coding RNA, 777 nt
Organism: Pelobates cultripes (western spadefoot toad)
Lineage: Eukaryota; Metazoa; Chordata; Amphibia; Anura; Pelobatidae
Source: the annotation of a GenBank genome assembly
UUUUUUUUCCUACCCUGGGAUACACCCUCCCUCCUGUGUUUUGUUUCCUCUGUUAGGCUGAGCCGCGACUCUCAUGGAAAUUGAGAGCACUCGAUUGUAUAUACAAUAUAUACAAAUAUAUUCGGGACCAGUACAAACCUUUAUCUGGAAAUCCAUUCAUAAACAGGGCUAUACAUAGGACAUGAGGUCACACAUUUAGGCUGGAAGAAAGGAGAUUUCAUCUAAGGCAAAGAAAAGGUUUUUUUACAGUAAGAGCAAGAAGGAUAUGGAAUUCUCUGCCUGAAGAGGUGAUUUUGUCAGAGAAUUUUUAUACAGAUGUUUAAACUGAAAUUGGAUAAAUACUUGCAAAAACAUAACAUACAGGGAUGUAAUUUCUAAUUAGUGGGGUAAUAGCUGCUUGAUCCAAGGAGACAUCUGACUGAUAUUUUGGCUUCAAGAAGGAAUUUUUUCCUAGUAUGUUGCAAAAUUGGAAGCGCUUCAGACUAGGUUUUUUGCCUUCUUUUGGAUCAACAGCAAAGACAUAUGUGAGGAAGGCUGAAAUUGAUUUUUCAGCUAUGUAACUAUGUAACUAUGAUUGGGAUGCACUGACUUUCCUUCCCGAGGGUAUCUCUUUUGACAUCACGUGGAAGAUGAUCAACUAUCAAGACUGUUUUCUACCUGAGUUUUGCAAACAAGCCAGCAUUGUGCCCAGUUGCAUGUCUUAAAUCCUACUUGGACCGUACAUGCUCUCUUCAUACCCCAAAUCAACACCAGCUCUUCAUAUCAUUUAAACCUCAU